GUGGGGAAUCUUCCGCAAUGGACGAAAGUCUGACGGAGCAACGCCGCGUGAGUGAAGAAGGUUUUCGGAUCGUAAAGCUCUUUCGUUAGGGACGAACGUGCUCUUUGUGAAUAAUGAGGAGUAAUGACGGUACCUAAAUAAGAAGCCACGGCUAACUACGUGCCAGCAGCCGCGGUAAUACGUAGGUGGCAAGUGUUGUCCGGAAUUAUUGGGCGUAAAGCGCGCGCAGGCGGGAUAUCAAGUCUGUCUUAAAAGUGCGAGGCUCAACCUCGUGAGGGGACAGAAACUGGUAUUCUUGAGUGUCGGAGAGGAAAGUGGAAUUCCAAGUGUAGCGGUGAAAUGCGUAGAGAUUUGGAAGAACACCAGUGGCGAAGGCGACUUUCUGGACGAUGUCUGACGCUGAGGCGCGAAAGCUAGGGGAGCGAACGGGAUUAGAAACCCGUGUAGUCC
This 450-nucleotide ribosomal RNA is filed under the name uncultured bacterium. Its description in RNAcentral is "partial 16S ribosomal RNA". It matches the Rfam family "Bacterial small subunit ribosomal RNA", at positions 354 to 796 of the family's 1533-position model. The record is from RNAcentral.